GAUGAAGAACGUAGCGAAAUGCGAUAAGUAAUGUGAAUUGCAGAAUUCAGUGAAUCAUCGAAUCUUUGAACGCACAUUGCGCCCUUUGGUAUUCCGAAGGGCAUGCCUGUUCGAGCGUCAUUAUCACCCCUCAAGCCCUCGGCUUGGUGUUGGACGGUUUGGUGGAGGCCCCCUCGGGGGCUCCUGCCCCUCCCAAAGACAAUGACGUCGGCCUCGUUGGACCCCCGGUACACUGAGUUCUUCACGGGACACGUAUCGGACACAUGGGUUUACGGGACACGGUCUGCCUCCCCUCAGGGAGAAUCUUUCUAAGGUUGACCUCGGAUCAGGUAGGGAUACCCGCUGAACUUAAGCAUAUCAAUAAGCGGAGGA
RNAcentral lists this unclassified non-coding RNA (372 nucleotides) under soil metagenome. RNAcentral's name for it is "partial contains 5.8S ribosomal RNA, internal transcribed spacer 2, and large subunit ribosomal RNA". The stretch from base 1 to 120 matches the Rfam family "5.8S ribosomal RNA", at positions 35 to 154 of the family's 154-position model. The record is from RNAcentral.